UGACUCCAAUUUUGGAAGACGUUCUACUAUGGGUAAAAGAGCAGCAAGCAGUGCACAUUACAGAGAAAUCUUUUGUGAAAGGAAGAGAUCAACCGAUUGGGCAAACUUAACUGUUGUCUUAUUUUAAGAAGUUGCCACAGUCACCCCACCCUUCAGCAACCGUCAGACUGAUCAGUCAGCAGCCAUCACCAAUGAGACCCUCUUUUGCAAAACAGGCAGAAGUCAAGGAGUACCACUGAUGAUCAGCAAAAUAAGAUUCAAGGAUCAUUACCACAUAGAAAUACUGGUGACAACAAUAAAAGCA
Long non-coding RNA from Gorilla gorilla gorilla (western lowland gorilla), 304 nucleotides. RefSeq lists it as uncharacterized. The transcript has 3 exons. NCBI's taxonomy places the organism in Eukaryota, Metazoa, Chordata, Mammalia, Primates, Hominidae. The record is from RefSeq and is a predicted model, not a curated record.